Molecule: non-coding RNA, 21 nt
Organism: Caenorhabditis elegans
Lineage: Eukaryota; Metazoa; Nematoda; Chromadorea; Rhabditida; Rhabditidae
Source: Ensembl
UUAAUAAAUGGAUAAGAUUUU